RNAcentral lists this ribosomal RNA (491 nucleotides) under uncultured bacterium. RNAcentral describes it as "partial 16S ribosomal RNA". It matches the Rfam family "Bacterial small subunit ribosomal RNA", at positions 29 to 507 of the family's 1533-position model. The record is from RNAcentral.
GUGAACGCUGGCGGUAGGCCUAACACAUGCAAGUCGCACGGCAGCACAGUAAGAGCUUGCUCUUACGGGUGGCGAGUGGCGGACGGGUGAGGAAUACAUCGGAAUCUACUUUUUCGUGGAGGAUAACGUAGGGAAACUUACGCUAAUACCGCAUACGACCUACGGGUGAAAGCAGGGGAUCUUCGGACCUUGCGCGAUUGAAUGAGCCGAUGUCGGAUUAGCUAGUUGGCGGGGUAAAGGCCCACCAAGGCGACGAUCCGUAGCUGGUCUGAGAGGAUGAUCAGCCACACUGGAACUGAGACACGGUCCAGACUCCUACGGGAGGCAGCAGUGGGGAAUAUUGGACAAUGGGCGCAAGCCUGAUCCAGCCAUACCGCGUGGGUGAAGAAGGCCUUCGGGUUGUAAAGCCCUUUUGUUGGGAAAGAAAAGCAGCAGGUUAAUACCCCGCUGUUCUGACGGUACCCAAAGAAUAAGCACCGGCUAACUUCGUG